GCGGGUGUAAUUCAGCGGCAGAAUGCAAGCUUCCCAAGCUUGACGUUGUGGGUUCGACUCCCAUCACCCGCU
Molecule: transfer RNA, 72 nt
Filed under: Candidatus Omnitrophota bacterium
Lineage: Bacteria; Pseudomonadati; Candidatus Omnitrophota
Description: Candidatus Omnitrophica bacterium (groundwater metagenome) tRNA-Gly
Rfam family: tRNA
About the family: Transfer RNA (tRNA) molecules are approximately 80 nucleotides in length.
Source: RNAcentral